GCCCUCUUAGCUCAGUCGGUAGAGCAUUUCCAUGGUAAGGAAAAGGUCGUGGGUUCGAUUCCCACAGAGGGCU
RNAcentral lists this transfer RNA (73 nucleotides) under Ilumatobacteraceae bacterium. Its description in RNAcentral is "tRNA-Thr". It matches the Rfam family "tRNA". Rfam says of the family: Transfer RNA (tRNA) molecules are approximately 80 nucleotides in length. Their secondary structure includes four short double-helical elements and three loops (D, anti-codon, and T loops). Lineage: Bacteria; Bacillati; Actinomycetota; Acidimicrobiia; Acidimicrobiales; Ilumatobacteraceae. The record is from RNAcentral. RNAcentral also lists the same sequence under 1 other name.